AGUAUAAUAUACAACAUGUCUUGUAUAUGAUCAGGAAUAAGGCCUGAUUGUUUCUACCAAGCUGCCGUAAAUAGCUUGACUACAAGGAGUUUUUUGAUAAAU
Molecule: non-coding RNA, 102 nt
Filed under: Bacillus sp. (in: firmicutes)
Lineage: Bacteria; Bacillati; Bacillota; Bacilli; Caryophanales; Bacillaceae
Description: Bacillus sp. Guanine sequence
Rfam family: Purine riboswitch aptamer
About the family: Riboswitches are metabolite binding domains within certain messenger RNAs that serve as precision sensors for their corresponding targets. Allosteric rearrangement of mRNA structure is mediated by ligand binding, and this results in modulation of gene expression.
Source: RNAcentral